RNAcentral lists this ribosomal RNA (440 nucleotides) under uncultured bacterium. Its description in RNAcentral is "partial 16S ribosomal RNA". It matches the Rfam family "Bacterial small subunit ribosomal RNA", at positions 338 to 795 of the family's 1533-position model. The record is from RNAcentral.
CCUACGGGAGGCAGCAGUGGGGGAUAUUGCACAAUGGGGGGAACCCUGAUGCAGCGACGCCGCGUGGGUGAAGAAGCGCCUCGGCGCGUAAAGCCCUGUCAGCAGGGAAGAAAAUGACGGUACCUGAAGAAGAAGCCCCGGCUAACUACGUGCCAGCAGCCGCGGUAAUACGUAGGGGGCAAGCGUUAUCCGGAUUUACUGGGGGUAAGGGGGGCGCAGACGGGGAUGCAAGCCAGGAGUGAAAGCCCGGGGCCCAACCCCGGGACUGCUCUUGAAACUGCGUGGCUGGAGUGCAGGAGGGGCAGGCGGAAUGCCUGGUGUAGCGGUGAAAUGCGUAGAUAUCAGGAAGAACACCGGUGGCGAAGGCGGCCUGCUGGACUGCAACUGACGUUGAGGCCCGAAAGCGUGGGGAGCAAACAGGAUUAGAUACCCCUGUAGUC